UAAUUAAUUUUUAAUUAUCUUUGAUUUUCCCGAAUUCAAAAGAGUUACUUUAAUAUUGAUUUUAUUGUAUCAAAAAUACUUAGAAUAUUAAGGUAGUAAUGAAACGUUAUUCGUUUUUGGAUAUAUCUGGUUUUUUAAGAAAAAAAUUAAAUUUACUUAAUUAAUAGGAAUUUUUUAAUUUUUAGGAAGUUCUUGUUUUUAUGUUAUGUUUAAAGGGAUGAGCUUUUAAACAAAAAUUUAUAAGGUUGUUAUAAAUUAAAAUAGUUAGGAUUAGAAAUUUUCAUUUUUAGAAGGAUGUUAUAAUUUAUUUUGUUAUUUUUAUUAUUUAUAUUGGUUCUUUAGUUGUUUUAUUAAAAAAAAAUUUUGAAUGAUUUAUGGUUUGGAAUAAUGAUUGAAUUAGUAUAUGUUGUUGUAUUUUUAAAUUGAAGAUUUAAGUUUAGGUUAAGGAAUUCGGCAAAAAAUUUUCUGCCUGUUUAUUAAAAACAUGGCCUUUUGAUUAUAAUUUAAGGUCUAGCCUGCCCACUGAGUACUUAAAUGGCCGCGGUACACU
RNAcentral lists this ribosomal RNA (550 nucleotides) under Prionus laticollis (broad-necked root borer). Its description in RNAcentral is "partial 16S ribosomal RNA". Lineage: Eukaryota; Metazoa; Arthropoda; Insecta; Coleoptera; Cerambycidae. The record is from RNAcentral.